RNAcentral lists this ribosomal RNA (2407 nucleotides) under Klebsiella pneumoniae. Its description in RNAcentral is "partial 23S ribosomal RNA". It matches the Rfam family "Bacterial large subunit ribosomal RNA", at positions 509 to 2898 of the family's 2925-position model. Lineage: Bacteria; Pseudomonadati; Pseudomonadota; Gammaproteobacteria; Enterobacterales; Enterobacteriaceae. The record is from RNAcentral.
GAAAGGCGAAAAGAACCCCGGCGAGGGGAGUGAAAAAGAACCUGAAACCGUGUACGUACAAGCAGUGGGAGCACCUUCGGGUGUGACUGCGUACCUUUUGUAUAAUGGGUCAGCGACUUAUAUUCUGUAGCAAGGUUAACCGUAUAGGGGAGCCGCAGGGAAACCGAGUCUUAACUGGGCGUUAAGUUGCAGGGUAUAGACCCGAAACCCGGUGAUCUAGCCAUGGGCAGGUUGAAGGUUGGGUAACACUAACUGGAGGACCGAACCGACUAAUGUUGAAAAAUUAGCGGAUGACUUGUGGCUGGGGGUGAAAGGCCAAUCAAACCGGGAGAUAGCUGGUUCUCCCCGAAAGCUAUUUAGGUAGCGCCUCGUGAAUUCAUCUUCGGGGGUAGAGCACUGUUUCGGCUAGGGGGUCAUCCCGACUUACCAACCCGAUGCAAACUACGAAUACCGAAGAAUGUUAUCACGGGAGACACACGGCGGGUGCUAACGUCCGUCGUGAAGAGGGAAACAACCCAGACCGCCAGCUAAGGUCCCAAAGUCAUGGUUAAGUGGGAAACGAUGUGGGAAGGCACAGACAGCCAGGAUGUUGGCUUAGAAGCAGCCAUCAUUUAAAGAAAGCGUAAUAGCUCACUGGUCGAGUCGGCCUGCGCGGAAGAUGUAACGGGGCUAAACCAUGCACCGAAGCUGCGGCAGCGACACUAUGUGUUGUUGGGUAGGGGAGCGUUCUGUAAGCCUGCGAAGGUGACCUGUGAGGGUUGCUGGAGGUAUCAGAAGUGCGAAUGCUGACAUAAGUAACGAUAAAGCGGGUGAAAAGCCCGCUCGCCGGAAGACCAAGGGUUCCUGUCCAACGUUAAUCGGGGCAGGGUGAGUCGACCCCUAAGGCGAGGCCGAAAGGCGUAGUCGAUGGGAAACAGGUUAAUAUUCCUGUACUUGGUGUUACUGCGAAGGGGGGACGGAGAAGGCUAUGUUAGCCGGGCGACGGUUGUCCCGGUUUAAGCAUGUAGGCUGGUUGUCCAGGCAAAUCCGGAUAAUCAAGGCUGAGGUGUGAUGACGAGGCACUACGGUGCUGAAGUAACAAAUGCCCUGCUUCCAGGAAAAGCCUCUAAGCAUCAGGUAACAUCAAAUCGUACCCCAAACCGACACAGGUGGUCAGGUAGAGAAUACCAAGGCGCUUGAGAGAACUCGGGUGAAGGAACUAGGCAAAAUGGUGCCGUAACUUCGGGAGAAGGCACGCUGGUGUGUAGGUGAAGUCCCUGCGGAUGGAGCUGAGACCAGUCGAAGAUACCAGCUGGCUGCAACUGUUUAUUAAAAACACAGCACUGUGCAAACACGAAAGUGGACGUAUACGGUGUGACGCCUGCCCGGUGCCGGAAGGUUAAUUGAUGGGGUUAUCCGUAAGGAGAAGCUCUUGAUCGAAGCCCCGGUAAACGGCGGCCGUAACUAUAACGGUCCUAAGGUAGCGAAAUUCCUUGUCGGGUAAGUUCCGACCUGCACGAAUGGCGUAAUGAUGGCCAGGCUGUCUCCACCCGAGACUCAGUGAAAUUGAACUCGCUGUGAAGAUGCAGUGUACCCGCGGCAAGACGGAAAGACCCCGUGAACCUUUACUAUAGCUUGACACUGAACAUUGAGCCUUGAUGUGUAGGAUAGGUGGGAGGCUUUGAAGCGUGGACGCCAGUCUGCGUGGAGCCAACCUUGAAAUACCACCCUUUAAUGUUUGAUGUUCUAACGUUGGCCCCUGACCGGGGUUGCGGACAGUGUCUGGUGGGUAGUUUGACUGGGGCGGUCUCCUCCCAAAGCGUAACGGAGGAGCACGAAGGUUAGCUAAUCCUGGUCGGACAUCAGGAGGUUAGUGCAAUGGCAUAAGCUAGCUUGACUGCGAGCGUGACGGCGCGAGCAGGUGCGAAAGCAGGUCAUAGUGAUCCGGUGGUUCUGAAUGGAAGGGCCAUCGCUCAACGGAUAAAAGGUACUCCGGGGAUAACAGGCUGAUACCGCCCAAGAGUUCAUAUCGACGGCGGUGUUUGGCACCUCGAUGUCGGCUCAUCACAUCCUGGGGCUGAAGUAGGUCCCAAGGGUAUGGCUGUUCGCCAUUUAAAGUGGUACGCGAGCUGGGUUUAGAACGUCGUGAGACAGUUCGGUCCCUAUCUGCCGUGGGCGCUGGAGAAUUGAGGGGGGCUGCUCCUAGUACGAGAGGACCGGAGUGGACGCAUCACUGGUGUUCGGGUUGUCAUGCCAAUGGCACUGCCCGGUAGCUAAAUGCGGAAGAGAUAAGUGCUGAAAGCAUCUAAGCACGAAACUUGCCCCGAGAUGAGUUCUCCCUGAGACUUUAAGUCUCCUGAAGGAACGUUAAAGACGAUGACGUUGAUAGGCCGGGUGUGUAAGCGCAGCGAUGCGUUGAGCUAACCGG